AUGGUGGAUCCAGGGAAGCCGGCCUUCACCCCCAAGAAGGGCAAGCCCAUCAUCGUCAUGUUCGUCGGAUUGCAGGGCCAGUCUGACUCACCAACCAACCUCGCCUGCUUGUUCUGUUUAUUGUUCUACACCUAUUACUGA
This 141-nucleotide ribosomal RNA is filed under the name Triticum aestivum (bread wheat). RNAcentral's name for it is "partial small subunit ribosomal RNA". Lineage: Eukaryota; Viridiplantae; Streptophyta; Magnoliopsida; Poales; Poaceae. The record is from RNAcentral.